GGGGAUGUGGUGCAGCUGGUCGCGCACGAAGGCCUCGUAGGCCUUGAGGUCUGCGACGACGACGCGCAGCAAGUAGUCGGCUUCACCA
RNAcentral lists this transfer RNA (88 nucleotides) under Pannonibacter sp. SL95. RNAcentral describes it as "tRNA-Thr". The record is from RNAcentral. Lineage: Bacteria; Pseudomonadati; Pseudomonadota; Alphaproteobacteria; Hyphomicrobiales; Stappiaceae.